This 76-nucleotide transfer RNA is filed under the name Burkholderia aenigmatica. RNAcentral's name for it is "tRNA-Ser". Lineage: Bacteria; Pseudomonadati; Pseudomonadota; Betaproteobacteria; Burkholderiales; Burkholderiaceae. RNAcentral also lists the same sequence under 1 other name. The record is from RNAcentral.
GCGCGCUUCUGCGGUUCGUUUCAUCAUCUGAUUCGGGACCAGAGGGGCGAAGGUUCGAACCCUUCGGUCUCGCGCA